CCUACGGGCGGCAGCAGUGGGGGAUAUUGCACAAUGGGGGAAACCCUGAUGCAGCGACGCCGCGUGGGUGAAGAAGGGCCUCGGCGCGUAAAGCCCUGUCAGCAGGGAAGAAAAUGACGGUACCUGAAGAAGAAGCCCCGGCUAACUACGUGCCAGCAGCCGCGGUAAUACGUAGGGGGCAAGCGUUAUCCGGAUUUAAUGGGGGUAAAGGGGGGGGAGACGGCGAUGCAAGCAAGGAGGUAAGGCCCGGGGCCCAACCCCGGGACGGCCGUUGAAACUGCGUGGCUCGAGUGCAGGAGAGGCAGGCGGAAUUCCUGGUGUAGCGGUGAAAUGCGUAGAUAUCAGGAGGAACACCGGUGGCGAAGGCGGCCUGCUGGACUGCAACUGACGUUGAGGCCCGAAAGCGUGGGGAGCAAACAGGAUUAGAUACCCGAGUAGUC
This 440-nucleotide ribosomal RNA is filed under the name uncultured bacterium. Its description in RNAcentral is "partial 16S ribosomal RNA". It matches the Rfam family "Bacterial small subunit ribosomal RNA", at positions 338 to 795 of the family's 1533-position model. The record is from RNAcentral.